CGUUGGAAUGGCGUUUAAUGAGGACGUUAACUGUCAUGACCCAUUAUUAGGGUUCAAACCCACGUCUCCGUGGUAAGCAGCCGGCACCUUGUCUCCAACACCACCACUCCCCUUCUGCCGCAAAACAUUGCCAAUUAUAUAGGUAAUUUGUACAGCAUAUGCUGUAUGCAGGUCUAGAAUUUUCUCCUUUUUAUAUAGAUAUUCUGUAAAUAUAUGUACAAUCCAUAUAAAUCUGAAGUCCAGAAGAUUUUUCAGUAUAAAUUUAUAUAGACUGGUUGUAUGAGAUCUGUUAAAAUUACAAUUUAAAUCAUAACUGCAAGUUAAAAUGAAAUUUUUCACUCAUUACAUUAGCAUGUAGAUCUAGAUUAAAAACAUAGAAAUUAUUUUAUACAGAUGGAUCACUUUAUUUUUUUCACAUUUUCCAAAAAUUCAAAGUUGUCAAUAUUGACAGAAAAUCACACAAAGAAACCUUCAUAUGCAUUCUAAGUUUAACCCUGCAGUUUUGACUAAACUGUACUGUAAUUCAGAUAUCGAUACAUCAUUGAAUACACCAAAUCUUUAAUUAAAUUUAUUGACCGAAAGAUGUUUAAAUUUUCGGAUAAAAUUGAGCUUCUUCUAAAGAGCAGUUCAGCUCAAAGGAGAAAUAUACUGUACAAGUUCCCGAAUAUUACUGCGAGUGUCAAUUUUUAGAAGAAUAUGUCCCCGGCCCCCCACCCCACCCCCGCCCUAUCAUACCUGGGACCUACGCUUAAGCAAAUUAUGUAUUUAUGAGGGUACAUCAGAAAUACUGAUGACCUGAACUUCAAACUUCUGAAAAAUAAGCUUGUUUCUUGAAAUAAAUUAGGUUAUUUUAGUGUCAAUAUUUUGUUUUUGUUGUUGUUGUUGUUGUUGUUGUAGUAUUUCAUUAUGUAAAGCUGACUUCGUAGCGAUAGGUUCGAAUCUAUAUUUUGCAUUUAUAAUUUCGUUUAUUUUAAUUUAAGUUGUCGAAUAUACUGUAAUAUCAUUGAACUUAAAUAUUUUUUCGUAAAUUUACUUUGAGUAUCUCCUUCUUAAAAAGAAACGUUGAUUCGGAUGUACUGAGACCUGAAUAUCUGCAUGCGCGCCGAUGUUUACAAAAGGAAUGUCCAGUAUUUUUGGUGUCUUUCGGUGAUACUUUUACACAUUAGAACAACUGAAUAAAAUCUCCUUUCAAUUAACUAUCGAUAUAUCUGGUAUUUUACGUAAGACUGAGUCCCAAUAUUAUUGCAAUUCGGUAGCAAAGAUGUUGACACCACAUGUCAUCUGAUGAUGAGUUUUACAGGAUCGAAUAAGGUUUGGUCAUUGUAUUCCCUGAAAGGAACAAGAGGAGAAAAGAAACUGGAAGACCUGCAUGCCUAUCCGCAGGCCAAUGCUGGCUGCAGGUCAAUAUUGAAUGCUCAUGAAAACUCAUAAGACAAUUACAAAAAAAAAGAAGCUGAGGAUGCUGUUUUUAAAACAUGUUCCAUUCAAAAAUGGUGGAUUGAAAUUUAAGAAAGGUGUGACGGGUGCGGCUACUGCAGGCAGGGAGGAUUUGACGGUCAGCCAGAGGAUUUGGAGUUAUACUGUAAUGUCUUUAAUGUGGACUUGCGUGUGAUUUAAGUUUUCACAAGGGUUUUAGUGUGUGUGAAAGUAUGUCAGUUUUCAAAAUUGAGCUAUGACAAUUUGCUCAAACUACAUAACUCAAAGAACUUUGAAGCGGUCUUGUUGACGUCAUGAGCUUUUGUUUAAUACCAGUAUUGGUGAUAUAGGCCCAUGAUUAUAUACUGUAGAAAGUGAACAAGUUCACUGCUCGAUACAGAUAAUCAUAUGGCCUGAUCUCUGAAUGAUAUUUAUGAACCAAAAGAAGGCAUAAAAUAAAAACAUACUGUAGUGAUUUAAAUUAUUGAUAUU
Mercenaria mercenaria is the source of this 1908-nucleotide long non-coding RNA. RefSeq lists it as uncharacterized. The transcript has 4 exons. The record is from RefSeq and is a predicted model, not a curated record. NCBI's taxonomy places the organism in Eukaryota, Metazoa, Mollusca, Bivalvia, Venerida, Veneridae.